UGGGACGUAGCCAAGCGGUAAGGCAGCGGAUUUUGAUUCCGCCAUGCGGAGGUUCGAAUCCUCCCGUCCCAGCCA
This 75-nucleotide transfer RNA is filed under the name Acidocella sp. RNAcentral's name for it is "tRNA-Gln". It matches the Rfam family "tRNA". From Rfam's summary of the family: Transfer RNA (tRNA) molecules are approximately 80 nucleotides in length. Their secondary structure includes four short double-helical elements and three loops (D, anti-codon, and T loops). Lineage: Bacteria; Pseudomonadati; Pseudomonadota; Alphaproteobacteria; Acetobacterales; Acidocellaceae. The record is from RNAcentral. RNAcentral also lists the same sequence under 1 other name.